This 74-nucleotide transfer RNA is filed under the name Pestalotiopsis fici W106-1. RNAcentral's name for it is "tRNA-Arg (CCG) (tRNA-Arg-CCG-2-1)". It matches the Rfam family "tRNA". From Rfam's summary of the family: Transfer RNA (tRNA) molecules are approximately 80 nucleotides in length. Their secondary structure includes four short double-helical elements and three loops (D, anti-codon, and T loops). Further hydrogen bonds mediate the characteristic L-shaped molecular structure. tRNAs have two regions of fundamental functional importance: the anti-codon, which is responsible for specific mRNA codon recognition, and the 3' end, to which the tRNAs corresponding amino acid is attached (by aminoacyl-tRNA synthetases). tRNAs cope with the degeneracy of the genetic code in two manners: having more than one tRNA (with a specific anti-codon) for a particular amino acid; and 'wobble' base-pairing, i.e. permitting non-standard base-pairing at the 3rd anti-codon position. Lineage: Eukaryota; Fungi; Ascomycota; Sordariomycetes; Amphisphaeriales; Sporocadaceae. The record is from Rfam by way of RNAcentral.
GCCCCAUUAGGCCAGUGGUUUAGGCCGUCGGUCCCCGAAACCGAAUGUCGCGAGUUCGAAUCUCGCAUGGGGCU